AUCAACUGUGCAAGGAGUAGACGAACAAAUCCUGAACUGAAAAUGUUCAGAUUCCCGUCCAAAAUAAAGAAAGAUUACGCGAGUGGAUUUUAAAUUCAGUGGCUGGGAGAUUGGCGCCUCCUGUAAUCCGAUGCGUCUCGGAAGCCGUUGUGCGGGAGAUGACUGUGUCCAUGGCGCAGUUAGGACUGUCCUGCGGGCCCCAGGGCGUCCGCGGUUCUGGGUUCACCCCAUGUGCUGCAUCGGGCGGGCGCUCGGCCUGCCCUGGAGAGAUGCGCCUAGUAUGCGCCGUCAGAAGCAUUGCCGGCGAGUGCGAGAUGCGGCGACGGGGGCCGCAGUGUGGGUAUCGGGCCGGGCUCGCUCCGCGCCCCGGCAGUCGCCAGCGCCACCAGGCCUGUGCCGCUGAGUGAGUGCGGCGGAGGGUAAGGACGCGCGCGACCCGCGCCCGCCAAGUGCCCCCUCCCCACAGUCACCCGCCAGCAGCUGCCCUGUAGCGCUGGGUGAAGACGGGGCCCUCGACCGUACAACAAUUUUUUUUCUGUAAACAAAUACUACGGUACGUGACUUGUACUAGUGACGAGCAUUUCAUUCCUUCGAGAAGAAUAAUAGCCGAAUUUUCGAGGGUCUCGAAAAGCUUCUCAAGAAUUCCCUUGAACGGAGCAUUAAAAAUGUGAUUUGCUUUC
Molecule: RNA transcript, 680 nt
Organism: Schistocerca piceifrons (Central American locust)
Lineage: Eukaryota; Metazoa; Arthropoda; Insecta; Orthoptera; Acrididae
Exons: 2
Source: RefSeq, a predicted model, not a curated record